CUACGGAGGGUGCAAGCGUUACUCGGAAUCACUGGGCGUAAAGCGCGCGCAGGCGGCUAUUUAAGUUGGAUGUGAAAGCCUACGGCUCAACCGUAGAACUGCAUCCAAAACUAUUUAGCUAGAGUGUGGGAGAGGAAGAUGGAAUUAGUUGUGUAGGGGUAAAAUACGUAGAGAUAACUAGGAAUACCAAAAGCGAAGGCAAUCUUCUGGAACACUACUGACGCUGAGGCGCGAAAGCGUGGGGAGCAAACAGGAGUAGAUACCCCAGUAGUCC
RNAcentral lists this ribosomal RNA (274 nucleotides) under uncultured bacterium. Its description in RNAcentral is "partial 16S ribosomal RNA". It matches the Rfam family "Bacterial small subunit ribosomal RNA", at positions 523 to 796 of the family's 1533-position model. The record is from RNAcentral.